GCUCCUUCCUCCCCACCGUAACAGCCGACGCGGAUUCAUUGCCGCCGUCGCCGGGUUGUUACGACCUCCCCUCCCUAACCAAAGGCCUAGGUAUAAAAACCGAGGCCCUGCAACUCUUCCCCCCUCUAUUUCCCUCUCCGUAGCCACCUCAUCGCCCCACCAGUUCUCCAUCCGUCGCCGUAAGAUAGGAGAGAGAGGAAGAGAGUAGUCGCGUCCCUCGAAUCGGGCAUUCGCCGGUGUGGAGAUCCAAUGAAAAGUGUGGGAAGGAGCCUUGGACACAGACGCACGUCUUCAUCGCAUAAUCGAGCUUCGAGGGUAACCGGAGCAAACAGAAUUGCUCACCAGUGUGGCAUCUCCAUUGCGGAUCCGCCCUUUGUCGUGGCCGAAGCGCAUCACGACACGAAUCUAGGUACUAACACCCCCAUACCGUUUGCGUCGUUGUGUACUACGAGUAGGUGUUUUCAAUCUAGCGAAGAUGGCUCUGGCGCGACUGUCUGUGGGCUCGUGGGGGAGCCUCCGCCGUUGGCGGGUGCUGCAGUCACCGGCGGUCGUCGGGCGAUGGUGGGGAUGCGAUGGUCGUCAGAUUUUAAACAGGGAGCUAGAAUUAGAGGGGGAUACCGUUUCGUCCUGGGCUUGGUUGAGUCGUCCGAUCCUGAUCGGAGGGGGGGGGGGGGGGAAUUAGAUCAGCCUUCAUAAAUGUUGGGCCAUCCGAUCCGGAUCCCACGGUGGGUUCAACAUACCCCUUUCGUAAAAGCCACGACCUACCGUCCAGAGUUGAUCUAGCGACCCCUACGCAACGAUACCCCUUCGGCUAGUCAAUUUUGUUAGAGUCCCUCGAAAACAGAGAAAUCAACCCUCCGUCUGUUGUCAGUGCAAUUUAGUUGCAUUCAUGCCCCGGACAUUUAUACAACAACCCCUGAUCUUUAGGAUAUUAAUGCACACAACCCAGAGAAUAGAUAAAAUUGAAUAAAACAGUAUAUAAAAUGAUUUAGAGUAUAGAAAUAAUUCUAGAUCCUUGUUUAAUUCAUAGUUAAUUUAUUUUAACUCCUUUUUGGUUCAUUCCAGUUGCAUUAAUCUCAUAUUAAUAUUGUUUAUCAUCUAAUAACUUUAUUUUGUUAUGAGACAUAAAUUAAAAUUUUGCACUUAAUUUGUUCUAUAUCUAACACUUAAACCUUCGGAAAAAUAAUAACUUUAUAACCGUAACUCCAAAUUUAGUGGUUCUCAAACCUGCGAUCUCGUUACGACAUGUAGAACAUUAUUAUGCAGUUGUUAUUAUGUUUUGUGUGAUGUUAGUUUUGUCUAUACCAUGUUUGUUUGUAUUGCUAUGAGUAGCAACGAGGUUACGAGAAUCUGAAGACCAAGUUGGUACUUAGGAAUCUCGAGUCUCAGGCAAGUUAUGCCCUUGAUCACCUUUCUUUAUCAAAUAAUGUUCAUGUUAAUCAUUAUGACAUGCUCAGGUUAAUUUGAUGGGACCUAAUAGGUUUCCCUAGCAUUGUUAUCCCCCACCUUGCAAACAGAUGAACUAUUGGGUAAAUUUGCUAUUUCUCUACCUGGUUUUGGGAAAUUAAUGUUUUAUUAUGAUCAUGUUCCAAUUAUGUUGUUGUUUUAAUUACUGUUCAUGAUAAGAUCAUCAUGUUAAUUGGAACAUGGAGAACCACCCGGGAAAACAAUGCUACCACAAUGGUGGUAUGGGAUGCCCUUGACUGACUAAUUAGGAAAGCUAGUGAAAAACUACCUUACCCGAAAGGGGCAAGGGCGGUAGAUGAGCUACGUAUAGGGAGGUUCUCGGGUCAAUCAUGCUACGAUGGUUUUUCGGACGAGGGAUUCCUAUAUUGUCCUUCUCAGAAACCGUAGCGAAUUUUCUGAAGCUAGUGGAACUUUGUAAAGGCCUUGUAGUGGUACCCUACCUCAUCUCCUCAGCAAAGAUGAAUAGGUAGUCGUGAUCCCUUGGAAAAUGGGUAACACGAUUUGUGGGUAAAGAUGUGCAACCUCUGCAGAGUGUAAAACUGGUAUAUCAGCCGUGCUCACGGUCAUGAGCGGCUCAGACACUCACAUGAUUAAUUUAUGGAACUAACUUUAAUUUGUCAUAUGCAUUGCAUUGUGGGUGUUGUUAUUAAUCUUGAUCUCUUAUUUAAUUGGGUGGGUAUCUACUUAUACGUAGUAAUUGCUAAUAAAAUUUUGACCAACUCUAAAAGCAAUGCUCAGCUGUAACCAUCUCCUUUGGUAAGCCUCACACUUCACAUGAGCUCCCACCUUUGGUGUGUUUAUGCACAUUAUUCCCCAUAACUUGUUGAGCGAUGAACGUAUGUGAAAUCACCCUUGCUGUACUCACAUCCCCCCACCUAGGUUAGGAAUAGGUACUGCAGGAUGAGGCACAUGAAGGAUGCUAUGACGAGUUCGUGAGUGGUCUAGGCCAUCGUCUCCGAGCCAACUAUGGUUGCUGGAUUGUUGUCUUCAUAUGAUGUAAUUAUUUAAUUAUUUUGUACAGAACUCCAUUAUAUAUUAAAGAUGUGACAUUCGUUUAUGUACCAUGAGUCAUCAUAUGUGUGAGACUUGGUCCUAGCACAGUUGGUGAAUUUCGCGCCUAGGCUAGGUGUGACACUCUAUCUCAGAUGCGAGCAAGGAGCAUAAGCGCGAGCCUAGCCAUACAACUUCGGUAGGACAACUCACAACAUCACAUCUAGAAACCUCCAGGCCCAACUAGAAGAAGAGAGGAGGGAACAGAUGGACAUGGAGGCGAGGAUGAGGGCGGAGCCGGAAGCAGAGCGAGUGGCUCGCUUGGAGGAUCAACAGAGAAUGGUGGAGAUGUUCUAGUACAUGUAGAGCCUUGGCGCCGCACAAGGUUUUGCUCCACCACCUCUGUUGUUUCCUCCAGUUGACCCUGCUCAGUUCCAUACUCCUGACAACCAGCAGCAUCAAACAACCAUCAUGGAUCGCCAGCCCAUCGCCGAACCAGUCCAACCACCCACCUCGCUGAUGAUCUUAUGUUUGUUGGUGUUGGUAAUACUUUGUGAGAUAACUUGGUCUGAAUUUAUUGAUGUUGGUAAUAAUUUGUGAGAUACUUGAGACCUAUGUUUGUGAGUGUUGGAGACUUAUGUUUAUGAAACUUGUUUGAUAUGGUGAUAUUUGUGAGAUAUAUGGUGUUCGUGAUA
Molecule: long non-coding RNA, 3152 nt
Organism: Zea mays
Lineage: Eukaryota; Viridiplantae; Streptophyta; Magnoliopsida; Poales; Poaceae
Exons: 3
Source: RefSeq, a predicted model, not a curated record